CAGUCGCCGCGGUAAUACGGAGGGUGCAAGCGUUAAUCGGAAUUACUGGGCGUAAAGCGCACGCAGGCGGUUUGUUAAGUCAGAUGUGAAAUCCCCGAGCUUAACUUGGGAACUGCAUUUGAAACUGGCAAGCUAGAGUAUGGCAGAGGGGGGUAGAAUUCCACGUGUAGCAGUGAAAUGCGUAGAGAUGUGGAGGAAUACCGAUGGCGAAGGCAGCCCCCUGGGCCAAUACUGACGCUCAUGCACGAAAGCGUGGGGAGCAAACAGGAUUAGAGACCCCUGUAGUCCCUGUCUCUUAUAC
RNAcentral lists this ribosomal RNA (301 nucleotides) under uncultured bacterium. RNAcentral describes it as "partial 16S ribosomal RNA". It matches the Rfam family "Bacterial small subunit ribosomal RNA", at positions 509 to 807 of the family's 1533-position model. The record is from RNAcentral.